Molecule: small nuclear RNA, 102 nt
Organism: Schistocerca americana (American grasshopper)
Lineage: Eukaryota; Metazoa; Arthropoda; Insecta; Orthoptera; Acrididae
Source: RefSeq, a predicted model, not a curated record
AGCGUCGUACUCACUUGAUACUAAAAUUGGAACGAUACAGAAAGAUUAGCAUAGCUCCUGCGCAAGGAUGACAGCUGAAAAACGGCGAUUAAUGCGGCUUCU